GACGAACGCUGGCGGCGUGCUUAACACAUGCAAGUCGAACGGAAAGGCCCUGCUUUUGUGGGGUGCUCGAGUGGCGAACGGGUGAGUAACACGUGAGUAACCUGCCCUUGACUUUGGGAUAACUUCAGGAAACUGGGGCUAAUACCGGAUAGGAGCUCCUGCUGCAUGGUGGGGGUUGGAAAGUUUCGGCGGUUGGGGAUGUACUCGCUGCUUAUCAGCUUGUUGGUGGGGUAGUGGCUUACCAAGGGUUUGACGGGUAGCCGGCCUGAGAGGGUGACCGGGCACAUUGGGACUGAGAUACGGCCCAGACGCCUACGGGAGGCAGCAGUGGGGAAUAUUGCACAAUGGGCGGAAGCCUGAUGCAGCAACGCCGCGUGCGGGAUGACGGCUUUCGGGUUGUAAACCGCUUUCGACUGUGACGAAGCGUGAGUGACGGUAAUGGGUAAAGAAGCACCGGCUAACUACGUG
RNAcentral lists this ribosomal RNA (468 nucleotides) under uncultured bacterium. Its description in RNAcentral is "partial 16S ribosomal RNA". It matches the Rfam family "Bacterial small subunit ribosomal RNA", at positions 28 to 507 of the family's 1533-position model. The record is from RNAcentral.